Molecule: long non-coding RNA, 1475 nt
Organism: Branchiostoma belcheri (Belcher's lancelet)
Lineage: Eukaryota; Metazoa; Chordata; Leptocardii; Amphioxiformes; Branchiostomatidae
Exons: 2
Source: RefSeq, a predicted model, not a curated record
UAUUCAUCCAGAGACUCACUACGCGUUCGACCAGAACUUAAUGACCCUGUGGUUAGAAGAGACGUGUACUCGCUCCCUCUAGUGCAGCUGGAAGAACUUCUCUUCAGAUUUACCCCAAAAGACUGUCUUUUCAUAAAAAAAUACAUAAAUAUGGGCUGUGGAGGAAGCAAAACGGCGGCAGAGCCGAAGGCAGACGACAACAGCCGACCGGAAUCCUCGCCGAAACAAGAAGUCGCAGUGAAGCCGGUAGUCAGAGAGGAAAUGGAAAAUGAGACCGAGCCUGCAGACGACGCCGGCGAGAAGGAAGGCCAGACCGGAGAAGGAGGAGGAGAAGGACAGCAAGAAGCGGCAGAGUCUUAGAGAGAAGCCCGAUUUUAGAACUUGCCCACCAGAUCUUCAACUGACUCAACCAUUGACUCUUCCUGUUUCAACCGCGACUCAACAUAACAAAACUGGAUUCAUGAUCAGCUAGAUGCAGUUCAACCUUUCGCCACUGUGUGUCGCCUGUGGACUGUGCAACACCUGGGAGAUGGUGCCACGAUCUUAUCAUCAACCCGAAAUUCAUGACGACAUUUUUACUGUGGGGUACUGUAUCCGAUGAUGACUGCCGUACAGAGUGGGGCCAUAUAACGCUGUCUAUCAAAUAUACGAUGUAAAUACUAGUAGCUCAAAGGCUAGGGAAAUAGAAUGGAAGAAGUCAACUAUCAGUACCAUUGAACACAAUCAUCUUAUCAUCUAUAGAAAAUGCAUUGCAAAUAUGAUAUAAUGGUGUAUAAUAUUUUAAGUUCGAUUCAAGUAAAAAAUGUAUUUUCAUAUUGUAAGGUUGUGUAUGUGAAUAAGGUCUUCUUGGGUUUGGUCUUUAACGUUUGUUUGCUGCUAUCAUUGUCAAUAUAGGCAUGAAAACGUAGAAUGGUUUCGCACAAAUCCAAAUAUAACUGUAUCAAAGAAAGAGAAACACAUGACGAUUAUCUUUCAGAAUCAAGAGAGUGUUUUCUUUCCUUGCAUGGCUGGGGAUCCCGGCAAUUGAAAUCAAAGAAGUGCAACAUCAUAUAUGUAGAUAUGAGGUAGACCUAACCCUUUUUCUGUCGUUGGCUUACGGCUUGGACUCAUAAGGUUACCUUGUAACGUCACCUUGAGAAGAUUACGUGUAAAAGUUCAAACAUUUCUGUAAUAGGGGAAGUAGGGCCGAGGAAAUAUUUUCUUCGCUCUUACCUUCAACCUGUGAAGAAGACUGUGUAUAUACGUAUACCAUCUUGACUGUAAAGUGUAAAGAGCGUAAUCCUACACUCUGUUAAGACUACAUUUGCGGGGGACGCAAGGAUUCAAGGUCAUUUGCGGUUUUUACCAUCGGUGAGCAGCCAACGUCCACAUUCUGUUGUGGUUAUGACAGAUAGAUGUAAAUAGUGUAAUUCUAUUUCUAAACAAUCUGUACUCAGAAACGGUCCAUAUUUGUAAUAAACCAUUGGAUUUUUGUC